Pan troglodytes (chimpanzee) is the source of this 7990-nucleotide RNA transcript. It is a transcript of the gene named ribonucleoprotein, PTB binding 2, with no coding region annotated. NCBI's taxonomy places the organism in Eukaryota, Metazoa, Chordata, Mammalia, Primates, Hominidae. The record is from RefSeq and is a predicted model, not a curated record. The transcript is spliced from 13 exons.
GGGAAGCCCGAGUUCGCGCCCGCAGCCCCCGGGCCGCCCCAGCGCGGGAGUUUCGAGGGGAGCCGGAGGAGAGCUGCGGCGUCACAUGGGGGGCCACCCGGGGACAGGCGCCUGGGGCUGAGUCUCCCGGCGAAGCCACCGCGAAGGGGCCGCAUCCCCCAGAGAACGACCCUGGGCGUUCGCGAAGGCCUCGCAGAGAGGGGGAGCCCGCCUGCGCGUCCGCGCCCUCACAGGUGGCCGGGUGGCGGCGCCCAGCCCCGCCUGCGGACCCACGAGAGGCGGGCGGGGGCGCGCCUGUGCGCCGGGGCCGGGGGCCGGCGGGGGAGGUUCCCGCGAGGUGGUUCUCGGGCUCCUCCUCGGCGCCUCAGAUUUCCUCUCCCCGCCAGCGGGCUGCUGGCUGCGGCGCCGCCUCUCUCUACUCCCUCCUCCCGCCGCCCCCCUUCCCCGCGGUUGGGCCCACUCUGCGGCCUCUGCCCGCCUCGCCCUCGCCCGGGCCUCCUCCCGCUUUCUCUCUCCGCUUCCCCUGGAGCCUCCGAGGAGUCCGCAGCCGCUGGGCGCCCGGGAAGAUGGCGGCGGCGGCGGGAGACGGCGGCGGCGAGGGGGGCGCGGGCCUGGGCAGCGCGGCGGGGCUGGGGCCGGGGCCGGGGCUGCGCGGGCAGGGCCCCUCAGCCGAAGCGCACGAGGGCGCCCCGGACCCGAUGCCCGCCGCGCUGCACCCUGAGGAGGUCGCCGCGCGACUGCAGCGGAUGCAGCGGGAGCUGAGCAACCGCAGGAAAAUCCUGGUGAAAAACCUGCCCCAGGACAGCAACUGCCAGGAAGUUCAUGAUUUGUUAAAAGACUAUGACUUAAAAUAUUGUUAUGUGGACAGAAAUAAACGAACAGCUUUUGUUACCUUAUUGAAUGGGGAACAAGCCCAGAAUGCAAUUCAGAUGUUUCAUCAAUAUUCUUUUAGAGGAAAAGACUUAAUAGUCCAGCUUCAGCCAACAGAUGCUUUGUUGUGUAUUACCAAUGUGCCCAUUUCUUUUACAUCAGAAGAGUUUGAAGAACUUGUUCGUGCUUAUGGAAAUAUUGAGAGAUGUUUUCUCGUCUAUAGUGAAGUUACUGGCCAUUCCAAAGGCUAUGGAUUUGUGGAAUACAUGAAAAAGGACUUUGCUGCAAAGGCUAGACUGGAGCUAUUGGGUAAACAGUUGGGAGCAUCAGCACUCUUUGCACAAUGGAUGGAUGUUAAUCUAUUGGCUUCAGAGCUCAUUCAUUCUAAGUGCCUUUGUAUUGAUAAACUCCCCAGUGACUACAGGGAUUCAGAAGAGCUGUUGCAAUUUUUUUCCAGUGUCCAUAAACCUGUGUUUUGCCAGCUUGCACAGGAUGAAGGUAGUUACGUUGGUGGCUUUGCAGUGGUUGAAUAUAGCACUGCGGAGCAUGCUGAAGAGGUCCAGCAGGCAGCAGACGGUAUGACCAUCAAGGGCAGCAAAGUCCAGGUUUCCUUCUGUGCUCCUGGAGCGCCAGGGCGAAGUACAUUAGCAGCAUUGAUAGCGGCUCAACGUGUGAUGCACAGUAAUCAAAAGGGCUUACUUCCAGAGCCAAAUCCAGUACAAAUUAUGAAAAGUUUAAACAACCCUGCCAUGUUGCAAGUUCUUCUACAGCCCCAGUUAUGUGGACGAGCUGUUAAACCAGCCGUUCUUGGAACACCUCACAGCUUGCCACAUCUGAUGAAUCCAUCCAUCUCUCCUGCAUUUUUACAUUUGAAUAAAGCACAUCAGAGCUCAGUUAUGGGUAAUACUUCUAAUUUAUUCCUUCAGAAUUUUUCUCAUAUACCACUGGCACAACAACAAUUAAUGAAGUUUGAGAGUAUUCAUACUAAUAAUAAACCCGGCUUACUUGGAGAGCCCCCAGCUGUGGUACUUCAGACUGCACUAGGGAUAGGGUCAGUGCUUCCAUUGAAAAAGGAGUUGGGACAUCAUCAUGGAGAAGCACAUAAAACAUCUAGCCUGAUUCCAACUCAAACAACGAUAACAGCUGGAAUGGGCAUGUUACCAUUCUUUCCAAAUCAGCACAUUGCUGGACAGGCUGGGCCAGGGCACAGUAAUACUCAGGAGAAACAGCCAGCCACGGUGGGAAUGGCAGAAGGAAAUUUCUCAGGGUCGCAGCCUUAUCUUCAGAGCUUUCCAAACCUUGCUGCUGGAAGCUUGCUGGUGGGACACCAUAAGCAGCAGCAAAGCCAGCCAAAAGGCACAGAGAUAAGUUCAGGGGCUGCCUCUAAGAAUCAAACUUCACUCUUGGGAGAACCACCAAAAGAAAUUCGGCUCAGUAAAAAUCCAUACUUGAAUUUGGCAAGUGUGUUGCCCAGUGUGUGCUUAUCAUCCCCUGCAAGUAAAACCACUCUUCAUAAGACUGGAAUUGCAAGCAGCAUUCUGGAUGCAAUCUCUCAGGGAAAUGAAUCACAACACGCAUUGGAAAAGUGCAUUGCUUAUUCUCCACCUUUUGGUGAUUAUGCACAGGUCUGAAAUCUAAAAGCUGGACUUGAAGCUGUAAGAAAGGGACAUUAGGGGCUUGAUUCAGAUCUCAGGAGAACUAGUGCAAUCCCAUUUUGGUUCUCCGUAUACCUGACUCCACUGAAGAGACAAGACUUAGAAAAGGUGAAGUGGGGCUGAAGGUAUCAUCUUUAAGAAAUGAAAAGCGAGGCUCAUCAUAUCUCAUCUCUGCCCCAGAAGGUGGUUCAGUGGAAUGUGUUGACCAGCAUUCUCAGGGCACAGGAGCAUAUUACAUGGAAACUUACUUAAAAAAGAAGCGAGUAUACUGAGUUAAGCUCUCUCCUAAUAACCCCCUAAGGUUCUCUGCAGUAUCUCUGCUGUUCAUCGCUGCCUUAACUUCAUUCAAACUAGCCAUAUCCUUUAAAUACGGGUUUAUAGUUUCCCAGAAGGAACUGUGUUGUGCAGCAGGCAGAAAUGCCAAAUAAAAAAUAGCAAUAAGAAGAGACAUCAAUUGAGGACAUUUUCCACUAGAGUCAGAUGCAUCUUAAUCAGUGUGCUAACUUACAAUCCAUUGGAGAAACUAACAAUGUUCCAAUAUUCCUUGAUUUAGGACUGGGAAUAAUUCUGACACCAUAUAUAAAAGAAGUUUGAAGCAAUAAAUGGGAAACAGUGUUGUUUCCUGAGCCUUAGAAGAAUGAGUUUCUUAUAAGCCAAUGUGCAUUUCAAUUUACUUUCCCUAGAAGUAAUUGCAUUUAUAGAUUUUUAGGACUUUUCCUAGAACUACAAGGGUGCAAGUACCAAAUGUGCUGAUGGUAAUAUUAUAAAGAUGCUCUACAUGCACACUCAAUUACGCCCACACCAGCCAUGCAAAAUUAAACCCGGUAAGAGAGUGACAGUGAUGUCCAAGGUAUCCACUACUACCGAUGCUUUAAGAUGUUGUUUACCAUUUAUACCUUCUGUGAAAAAUAGAAGGUAUUUUAAGAAAAGUAGCUUUGGUGAUCUAAUAAAGGGUUUGGCAAACUACACCCUGGGUCCACAUUUGGUCUACCACCCGCUUUUGUGCUGCCUGCAAGCUAAGACUAAUGUUUACAUUUUUAAAUGGUUGGAGGAAAAAAGAAAACUUAUGACAUGAAAUUUAUAUGAAAUUCAGAUUUCAGUGUCCAUAAAUAAACUUUUAUUGGGACGUUGCCAUGCUCAUUCAUUUACGUGUUGUCUGUGGCACUCUUAUGCUACAAGGGCAGAACUGAUUAGCUUCAACAGAGACUGUAUGGCCUACAAAGACCAUAUGGCCUAAAAUUUCGAGUAUCUGGCCAUUUAUAUAGUUUGCUGAUCCCUGAUCUAAUAGCACUAAUUCUAAUAGCAACUAUUCCUUUCAAUUCACCUAAAGACAGACCUUUAGCCUUUAGACAGACUUGUAAGUGGAAAGGAACACGUGUUUCUGUGCUCAUUUCAUAGCAUAGACUAGUAAUGAUCUAAUGACUAGAAUGGGGCCUAUUUUGAUCACUAAAUGCCCUAUUAUUUCCACAAUAUAGUAAAGCAGUCAAUACUGCACUUUCUGAUGGAGUCUUAAGGAGUCACAGUAGUUAUAACCAUUUUGAGCUAAUAAGCUAUACCUCACUCUCUGCUUUCUCUCUCACUCUUUGAUAGUGUGUUAGGGUGAAAAAUCAGUUAUUUAACCCAAUUUACUUGUGAAAGAGGUUUUAUCUUUAUGGACUAUGACUUUUGACAUCACCAUUUCUUGAAGACCUUGGUAUUAAAUGCAUGAGAAACCUUUUGCCAUCUAGAAAUUUCUAAGUUUGUUUAUGUUAUAAGACUGUAAUUAAUUGAUAGGGAAUUUGGGAUCUCGAUCCGGGGCUUUUUGAAAUCAGAUCAUUAAAUAUCUCGUCACUUUGGGGACUUGUUAUUUUUAACUAUGAUGUGGAUAUCCUGUUUUAAUUAUGAAGUCUAGAAUUGGUACAUAUGUUGUAUGCUUUGUAAAGAAUUUCACUUGGUCUAAUUUAUUGCAUAUACUAGCUUCUGUUGGAAAAUGACUGACAGCUAGAAAGUUGUUUAAGGUAAUUUCUAAGUAAGUAUACUACCUAUAAAUAACUGAUAAGAAUUAGGCAUCAUUCAGUGAUAUAGCAGAUGACUAAUGGGUUUUUCAGGCCCUGCACUUCUCUUUCCCAUUUUCCUGUUGCAUUCAGCCUCUUCAAUGCUUAGUCACACCUCCACUAUAGUACAAACAAACAGAAGAAAGGAAAGAUGGUGAAUUUUGCAACAGAGCUGCAAAAAGUCAAAGCAGGAAGAGGUUGAAGGAACUAAAACAAACAAAGGUGUCUGUCUGGACUACAGCACAGUGGACAGGCCAUCCAUACUGGCCUGUGCCCCGUUAUCACUGGGCACAACAGUGAAGUGCAAAUCAAGUGGUGUUUGUUAGUAGUAAGGACCAGAACCCACCCCUUCCUCCCCCCAAAACUAUACUGUUAUUUUUCUAUGUAAGCAAAUUGUUUGAAAUGCUUUGAAAAUGAAAUCUUAAUAUUAAAAGGCAUAUGCAUGUAAAGUCUUUAGUAUAUUUAUUUGUAUAAAGAGUAAACAAAGUGCAUAUAGAGUGGCCACAGGUUUGACACAGAGACCUUGGUGAUGUAGGCUAUGAACAAAUUUAAAUGGCAACUUCAUUGCUGCCACUGAACCAAUCCUGAAUUUGGGCUCAACAGGUGAAAAGUAACAAUAUCAAACGAAUACUAAACAGCAUAACAACAAAAAGAUUUUCAGACUCUUGGUCAUGAAGACCUUAAUUGUUCACAUUGAAUCAGUGACUAAACAUUUUUGAUUGAUUACCCAGCUACCUCCAAGCAAACUGAAAACUGUCUAGUGGAUCCUGAAGUCCAUAGUGCCUCUAGCCGGGUCUUUCCUUUCAAGUGUUGCACCAUAGGGUGAUGAUGGUAAAAACAGGGAUCAACCCUUGUAGAUCGGUGGUAAGUAUGGAAACACUCUAAGAACAGUGCAGCGUAUGUGGUAUUCAGACUGGUUGCAUACAGCAUUCAAAACCAGUGCUGGAAUUUGCCCCAAAGUGGUAGAGUUAUAAAAGGAUAUACAUUGACGUUUCUUAAAAGCAUGUGUAAUAGCAUCCAGGUUCUGGGAAUAAGUUCUGAUUAAAGGUAUACUGCUUAGGAAAGCACUGGCACAGGCUUAGUUCUUGAGAAUUAACAUGCAGCAAAUUAUCUAUUCCACAGCUAUCCCCCCAUGUAGAACCAGUUUUCUCAAAAAUGGGUGCUAGUGGUCACCCAAAGGAACAGGAGCUAAGCCACUGGAGAAACAAAGUUUAAGUCCUACUGGUGAGAGAAUACAGUCAUUUUUGUACAGAAACAAUAUAUACUACCUGGUAUCUAAUAUUUUAAGAAUGCAUGGUCUAGUACUGUAUAGAUACUGAAAUUUGAGGGCUAAGUCCAUCAAUCUUUAUCUAUGAUUAAUGUGCCAGCAAAACAUUUCAGAUCAGCUGGCAGCAGGGAAAAGCAAUCAUCUUCAGACAUUAUUUUGGUCAACUCCUCUUGUUUUCAAAAAUCCCCUUUUGGUAAUGCAGUUGUGAUGGUGAACUAGCCAGAUGAAAUGGUGGUAUAUUCUUUCCACAAGGAGGAGUGCUUAAGUGCUUUCAAAUAUUUUGGUUGUCAUUAUGUGUCACUAAGUUACUGGUACCAAAUUUAAAGAGGAAGUCCUUACACAUAUUAAGCACUACAGUGUGCCUUAUACAUGUAUAUGUACUGAAGUAUGAGUUCAGUGACUUUUUGGACAAAACACAAACUUUUUUCAUUAGAAAUUUUUAAAAAAUGACUUGGGCAUUUGUUGCAGGAGAAGGACUUGAUAAUCUGUGGAAUUUAAAUGUUAUUCAUGCUUCUUAUUUUAAAAGUGCUUCAAAUCCUUCAAUAAGGUUCUGAAAGCUUGUCCGAUUGGAUGGUUGGAAUUCCCAGCAUUUCCUCAUAAGUUGAUAAACCUGUAAAAAGAAAGAAGUAACAACAGUAAAAAUGUUAGAUUUGGGAACUUUAAAAAAUAACAGAAAUAUCAAGAGUAAGAAAAUAAUUUUGGAAAUGCAACGACUUUUCCUUAAAGACUGGAAAAACAAAAGUAUUUGAAUAGUUUAAAACACAGAAAAUGGGAUACAACUCUAGUUCAUAAAUAAUAUUUUAACAUUUGAGAAGCUCAAGGGUUGACUGGCUGCAAUAAAAUCCAGGUCAUUCCUGUAAACCAGUUAGAGGGUGAAGCAGAAGCUCAGAUCAGACUUGAACUUUCCAGACUGGCUGCCUCACUCUCUGACUCAUACUGUUCAGUGUGUCUUACACAGUCUCAAGAGUUUAGUAUUAAAGGCUCAAUUCACUUAGAAAACUGAAUUAUAAAUGCUAAUAAGUGGGAUAAACUUACAAAAAAUGCAAUUAUAUGUAUUUGUCACACUAAGGCUACACCAAAACCUGUCCCUCUGGGGCAAGCAAGUGGAUAAAGAGGGGCUGGCUUUUGGAGGGAAUCCUUGCUCUGAACCUAACUGGUGGCUAUCAUCUAGCCCCAAAGGUGAUUUCUCAGUUAUCUUAUGUGAAAUUCAGCUUCAGAAAACUAUUUUACAAGGACUUCACUGUAUCAUUUCCUCGCUCUCCCCUCUACCCAUUGCUGGAUAACUCAAGCUGCGAAAACAUAAUAGAAAUGGAGUGUUAUUACUGUGAUGUGGCCCACAGAUACCUCAUCUGGACAGUUAGGUGGGCACGGCAGGCGUUUUCCUUCUUUUAAUGUAUUCACAAGUCUUGUGACUGUCAUCUGGCCAUGGGUUGGGCCUAUCAUUUUCAGGAACAACUAUAUAAAAUAAAACCAAACAAAACGUUUAACUUUGCAAGUAUUUACAUAAAUGCCAAACAGAUUAAGGUGAAAUUUCUACAAUCAACUGGAAAUUUAAGUAGCAAUAAAAAGGCUUUUCUCCUUAGUAACUUUAAAUAAAAAUCCAAAAUCCUUAUUAGCUUUCAAUGAUCUGUCUCUAACCAGUGUCUUAGACUCUACCAACCGCUCCUUGUGCUUGUGCUGGUCAAGGAGUCUGUUCCCAAGAAAAUGAUCUGAUUUAGGAAUGAAGGAGGCACAGACAAGGCUGGUCCCUACCCAAUGCUACCCCACUUAACUUGCUCAUUUUCCCAUAAAACUGCCCUUCAUCUCUACACAGAUAAGAUCCUUGAGAGUCAAGGUCAUCCUAUAGAACUCUGGGCUCAUUGUGAAAGCAAGACUUGAGAGAUUCACAAAUAACUGUCAAGUAGCAAACCAAGUUAAUGGGAAAGUGACACUUUCCAUUAUAAUACAUUGAUUGGAUUCCAUUUAAAAACAAAAGUUAACCAAGCAGAGGGAUGGACACAUUUUAAAUGGGUACUGGAUUCAAAUGAAGAGAAAAGUAGGACUUACAGCCAUGGGACUAGAAUCUGAAUCACAGUAAGUCAGCAGCUCAUGCAGAGUGACUCCAAAAGACCAGACGUCAGAGGCAAUAUAAAAUUUCGAUUGCAUUAAACAUUCUGGAGCAUACC